GAUGAACGCUGGCGGCGUGCCUAAUACAUGCAAGUCGAGCGAACAGACGAGGAGCUUGCUCCUUUGACGUUAGCGGCGGACGGGUGAGUAACACGUGGAUAACCUACCUAUAAGACUGGGAUAACUUCGGGAAACCGGAGCUAAUACCGGAUAACAUGUUGAACCGCAUGGUUCAACAGUGAAAGACGGUCUUGCUGUCACUUAUAGAUGGAUCCGCGCCGCAUUAGCUAGUUGGUAAGGUAACGGCUUACCAAGGCAACGAUGCGCAGCCGACCUGAGAGGGUGAUCGGCCACACUGGAACUGAGACACGGUCCAGACUCCUACGGGAGGCAGCAGUAGGGAAUCUUCCGCAAUGGGCGAAAGCCUGACGGAGCAACGCCGCGUGAGUGAAGAAGGUCUUCGGAUCGUAAAACUCUGUUAUUAGGGAAGAACAAAUGUGUAAGUAACUAUGCACGUCUUGACGGUACCUAAUCAGAAAGCCACGGCUAACUACGUG
This 497-nucleotide ribosomal RNA is filed under the name uncultured bacterium. RNAcentral's name for it is "partial 16S ribosomal RNA". It matches the Rfam family "Bacterial small subunit ribosomal RNA", at positions 28 to 507 of the family's 1533-position model. The record is from RNAcentral.